UACAGAGGUCCCGAGCGUUGUUCGGAUUCAUUGGGCGUAAAGGGUGCGUAGGUGGCGGAGUUAGUCGGAUGUGAAAUCCCGGGGCUCAACCCCGGAACUGCAUUCGAUACUGCUCUGCUUGAGCACUGGAGAGGAGACUGGAAUUUACGGUGUAGCAGUGAAAUGCGUAGAUAUCGUAAGGAAGACCAGUGGCGAAGGCGAGUCUCUGGACAGUUGCUGACACUGAGGCACGAAGGCCAGGGGAGCAAACGGG
Molecule: ribosomal RNA, 253 nt
Filed under: uncultured bacterium
Lineage: Bacteria
Description: partial 16S ribosomal RNA
Rfam family: Bacterial small subunit ribosomal RNA
Source: RNAcentral